GUAAAAUUUGUGUCACCAAUCAUUUCCUUCUUCCUCAAAACCCCCAAAUUCCCCACCUCCAUAAAACCUAAAUUAACCCCCACCAAGUUCAGGAGAUCUCCACUGUAUCUCCACCGUGUCUCCACCAUGACAACCCGCCAAUUCCAACAUCCACAAAACCCUAACCAGAUUUAGUUAUCACUUACCAUCAACGCUCUCCUCUCAUUUACUCUCCUCCGCUACCCAAAUUAAGCGUAUGAUUUAGUUCGAUUUUCACUCAGAUCGAUUUUCACUUUCCUCCUCCUGCAGAUGCAGGCGAUGUAAUUCGGAAACAUCUUUAGUGGAGACUCAAAGAGAUCUAAAGUCAAAUGGAACUUCAAUGCAGCAACUGGUCUCUUCGUCCUCUUACACAAGACCAAGCUACUUACGCCGCCUUAGACGCUCAUUUUUGAUGUUUUUCAGCAAAGACUUCUCAAACAAGGUAACUUAAUGUGAAGCUAAUAGAAGCCAGCUGGAGAGCACUGAAGGCAUGAAAAAGUGGCUGUAAAAGUUAUCUAAAUAAAAAAGAGUUUUUGUUUACAAUAAACUAAGGUUUACCCCUAUAAAUAUAUUGUUAUGGAAACUUGGGUUUUAUCCCAUUUAUUUAUUAUAAAAAAGUUUGGUGUU
Molecule: long non-coding RNA, 645 nt
Filed under: Helianthus annuus (common sunflower)
Lineage: Eukaryota; Viridiplantae; Streptophyta; Magnoliopsida; Asterales; Asteraceae
Description: sRNA HanXRQr2_Chr09g0397021
Source: RNAcentral